GGUUAAGCGACUAAGCGUACACGGUGGAUGCCCUGGCAGUCAGAGGCGAUGAAGGACGUGCUAAUCUGCGAUAAGCGUCGGUGAGGUGAUAUGAACCGUUAUAACCGGCGAUUUCCGAAUGGGGAAACCCAGUGUGUUUCGACACACUAUCAUUAACUGAAUUCAUAGGUUAAUGAGGCGAACCGGGGGAACUGAAACAUCUAAGUACCCCGAGGAAAAGAAAUCAACCGAGAUUCCCCCAGUAGCGGCGAGCGAACGGGGAGGAGCCCAGAGCCUGAAUCAGUGUGUGUGUUAGUGGAAGCGUCUGGAAAGGCGUGCGAUACAGGGUGACAGCCCCGUACACAAAAAUGCACAUAUUGUGAGCUCGAUGAGUAGGGCGGGACACGUGGUAUCCUGUCUGAAUAUGGGGGGACCAUCCUCCAAGGCUAAAUACUCCUGACUGACCGAUAGUGAACCAGUACCGUGAGGGAAAGGCGAAAAGAACCCCGGCGAGGGGAGUGAAAAAGAACCUGAAACCGUGUACGUACAAGCAGUGGGAGCCUCUUAAUGG
RNAcentral lists this ribosomal RNA (550 nucleotides) under Escherichia coli. Its description in RNAcentral is "partial 23S ribosomal RNA". It matches the Rfam family "Bacterial large subunit ribosomal RNA", at positions 1 to 590 of the family's 2925-position model. The record is from RNAcentral. Lineage: Bacteria; Pseudomonadati; Pseudomonadota; Gammaproteobacteria; Enterobacterales; Enterobacteriaceae.